This 320-nucleotide long non-coding RNA is filed under the name Oryzias sinensis (Chinese medaka). RNAcentral describes it as "lncRNA (ENSOSIG00000001078.1)". Lineage: Eukaryota; Metazoa; Chordata; Actinopteri; Beloniformes; Adrianichthyidae. The record is from RNAcentral.
GUUUACUGGAUUUACUGGAUCUUCUAGAUCCCGUUGGGUCCAUCCCAGGGAAGUCCAGCAGCUUCCUGCUCCAGCUGUCUCUGGGCCGCAAGUCUCCCGUCCAUUCUCUGCUGACCUCCAGGCCGAGCAGCUGACGGGCGCCGUGGGUGAAUCCGUCACGUCUCCGGUGGUCUCAGUGGCAGAGAGGAAACGGCGUGUACUUGAAGUCGGACACACCUCACCUUUCCUUCCACUUUCCACUUGAGGUUUCCUCCUGGAGCAUCCUGACUCAUGCCGCCCCCCUCCUAUAGCCCCCCAUCCUCUGGGAGCAGCCGUGAGGC